Molecule: unclassified non-coding RNA, 149 nt
Filed under: Tenacibaculum dicentrarchi
Lineage: Bacteria; Pseudomonadati; Bacteroidota; Flavobacteriia; Flavobacteriales; Flavobacteriaceae
Description: sau-50
Source: RNAcentral
UAAAUUUCACUACAUUUUUAGCAGCAAUUUGAAUUUCUUUUCCUGUUUGAGGGUUUCUACCAGUUCUAGCAGCUCUUUCAGAAACAGACCAAGUUCCCCAUCCAACUAAAGCAACUUUUUCUCCAGCUUUUAAAGAAGUAGUAACGUUA